This is a long non-coding RNA of Pectinophora gossypiella (pink bollworm), 1259 nucleotides long. RefSeq lists it as uncharacterized. NCBI's taxonomy places the organism in Eukaryota, Metazoa, Arthropoda, Insecta, Lepidoptera, Gelechiidae. The transcript has 7 exons. The record is from RefSeq and is a predicted model, not a curated record.
UAUAAAUAAAAGUUAAUAUAUAUAAAUUAACAUUAAUUUUUUUUAACAGGAAAUGCACAAUGCUAAAAACUGCGUAGGAGAUUUUAAUACAAUAGUACUACCAAGCCUGAUGUUGGCCGCUAUUUCAAUGAAUGCAGCAGUGUCACAGCUAGCAAUCAAAAGUAACAAGAUAUUGAGGAAAUGCAGAUGGCAAUAAACUGUGUAGGAGUUCAUGAUUGCAAUAGAAUAAAAUCGACCAAGCCUGAAGUCAGCAGCCCCUUCAAUGAAUGCAGCAGUGUGACAGCCAGCAAUCAAAAGUUACAAGAUAUCGAGGAAAUGCAGAUGGCAAUAAACUGUGUAGGAGUUUAUGAUUGCAAUAGAAUAAAAUCGACCAAGCCUGAAGUCAGCAGCCCCUUCAAUGAAUGCAGCAGUGUGACAGCCAACAAUCAAAAGUUACAAGAUAUCGAGGGACGUUUCAUGACGACCACGACUAUUUUGGCAAAAACGUAUCGCUAUAGACUAAGGAAAAAAAAUUAACAUAUAUUUUAUUUACAGGAAAUGCAGAUGACAAUAAACUGUGUAGGAGUUUAUGAUUGCAAUAGAAUAAAAUCGACCAAGCCUGAAGUCAGCAGCCCCUUCAAUGAAUGCAGCAGUGUGACAGCCAACAAUCAAAAGUUACAAGAUAUCGAGGAAAUGCAGAAGGCAAAAAACUGCGUAGGAGAUCAAUAAUACAAAAGUAUUAUAUAAACCAAACCUGAUGUUGCCAGCUCCUUCAAUGAAUGCAGCAGUGUGACAGCCAGCAAUCAAAAGUAACAAGAUAUCGAGGAAAUGCAGAAGGCAAAAAACUGCGUAGGAGAUCAUUAAUACAAUAGUAUUAUAUAAACCAAGCCUAAUGUUGGCCGCUCAUUCAAAGAAUGCAGCAGUGUGACAGCCAGCAAUCAAAAGUAACAAGAUGUCGAGGAAAUGCAGAGUGCAAUAAACUGUGUAGGAGAUUAUGAUUGCAAUAGAAUAAAAUCGACCAAGCCUGAAGUUCUUCAAUGCACGCAGCAGUGUGACAGCCAGCAAUCAAUAGUGAUAGUGACAAGAAUCUAGGAAAUACAGCAAAGAAGCAGAUGUCAUCAAAGAAGAUCUUUGUUCCUGCAAUAUUUCCGCAGACGAUACAUCCAACAGAGCGAAGUGGAAGGAAAAGACUCGGAAAAAAGACCCCACCACCAUAUGGGAACAAUGCAAGGGAGAGAGAGAGAAUAUAAUUUUAUAUUUUUAUUUUUUGAUAACAUAAA